Zonotrichia albicollis (white-throated sparrow) is the source of this 4138-nucleotide non-coding RNA. The record is from RefSeq and is a predicted model, not a curated record. Lineage: Eukaryota; Metazoa; Chordata; Aves; Passeriformes; Passerellidae.
UCACCACGCUCUGUAACUUUGUAUCAUUCUCUUUGCCUCCUAACUUUUAUAAUUUUGUAUAAAACACUUCUCUCUGCCUUUCACUGUCAUUUGUUCCCUUCAUCAGUCAUGGGUCAGAGCUAAGUAAUUCCUGUACAAUUCUAUUUAAAAUAUUGUUUUUAAUACAAUUUUGUGUACUAGGAUAUGCAUAAUGCUCCAAAAUGUUUAUUUCUUGUGUGGCCAGGCUACUUUUUGGUCAUCAAGCAAACAUCUGGCAGUUUACAUGAAGCGAACAUCCCUAGGUUAUUUGGUUUUUCUGUAGCAUCUUGAGGAGGGCUAACUGUGCAAAUAAAACUGAAAGUUUUAAUGGAAUUUUUACGUGAGUUUACCUAUUUAAAUGGACCUUUACAAGACCUGUGCUACAAUGAUACAGUGUCUUCCUUCCUUGCAGUUACUUUUGUGGACAUUUUAGAUAAACUCCCAGCAGCUGUGUUUCCAUGGUGAUUGAAUAUUGCUUAUUGCUUCAAAGGCAGUAAUACUUAAAGUUUUCUAAAAUCCAUUGAAUUUUAUUUGAAGUGCUGUAAAACACAGUAAAAAUGUAGAGACUUGAAAGACACAGACCUAAUGCAUGGGCACCUGCUUGAUGUUUGUGUGGCUUAUUCCAGGGAGCAAGAGGCAAUAAAGGAAGGCUGGACACUGAGGAAGUGUUUCAAGCUGUGUUGUUCUCCCUGCUGAUUCAGUGGGUGCACCCCCAGCACUGUUCUCCAUGUCCAAAAAAAGAGAUGGCUGUGAUACUAAGAAGACAACUCUCAGAACAGCAUGUCAAAGUGUCUUCCAAUGCAGCAGUGGCGUUGGACAUUUGCACUCUUGGGAAAAACAAUUGAAUUAUGAUAUCACAGAAUGUUUUGGGUCAAGAUGGGCCUUAGUAAAGACCGUCCAGUUCCAGCCCCCCUACAGCGGACAGAGACAACUUGCAUCAGACCGUGUUGCUCAGAGCCCCACCUGGCCUGGCUUUGAACACUUCCAUGGAUGGGACAUUGAUGGUUUCUCUGGACAACCUGUUUCAGUGCCUCACCACCCCCACAGGGGAGGCUAUUCCCUUGGGUCUUGUUGCUGGUCACCAUGAAGAAAGAUGCCCCUCCCCUCAUGCAGAAGUUGUAGACUGCAGUGAGGUCUCCCCUCAGUCUCCUUGUCACCAUGCUGAAUAAACCAAGUGCCCUUGGCCACUCCUCCUACGGAUUCACCUCAAGGCCCUUCAUCUUUGUGGCUCCACCAAGAAGGAUCUUUCCACAGUGUCAGCUGAGUCAGAUAACAAGCUCCCUAAGGAUUCCAUCCCUGCCAGGUAUUGAAAUGGAAAAAAACCCCUCCGUUUUACUCUGUCCUUCAUCUCUGAAGCACAUCAAAGCCUGACUGAAUUCUCUGUGUGAAGGGAGGAAGAGAAGCACUGGAUGACAGUAUUGGGCUGCUAUUUAGACAAAGUAGAAGAGGAAUAGGUCUGAACCAUCUGCCUGUACUUGGCUUAUGUCUAACUUCACUGUUUAACAGGAAUACAGCUGCAAAAACUUAUAUGGACACAUUUUCUUGAGAAGGUAACCAACCACCAUGGACUCCUUUAUUCUUUGCUGUCAAAAGGAGAGGUAGAAGUUAUCGUAAAGAAGUAAAAAGGAUAGACCUAAAUAUUAAAUUAGGUGCUAAAUGGAGAUCUGACAUGAGUUCAUCCUCCAAAGGGUACCAGAUAGCCCUAAAAGAUAGUUCUCAGCUUCAGUAGAAAUCAUGGAUAUGUCAGAUAAUGGAAAUGGUCUUCUCUGGGAACUACAACUGCCAGUUUUCCAGUUGACAAUAUGAGUGAAUACUUGGGUAAUUUACUUGAUAUUUUAUUGACAAAUUAUUUUUACAUAUCUAGUAAAUAAAAACUUAUCUCUGAAGGUUUGAGCUAUUAUUUCUUGUGAUAUACCCCAAGUAAUAAAAAAUCCUUGUGAUAUACCCCAAGUAAUAAAAAACACUUUUUGAAGCCCUGGCUUUUAGAGAUUUUAAAUGCCCAUGUUUCUACCACAUCCUUUGUAAUUGUUAAGCAAAGACACACAUGCUUAGGUUAACCCACAAGUUCUUAAAUAUCCAAAGUAAAUCUUCCAGACCAUUAAUGGUUUCCUUUAAUUCUUUUCCUGAACUACCCAUGUAAUCUAGAGUUAGUGCCUCCUUUUUCCCAUAGAUACAUGAUUGAUAUAAGUUAUGGAAAAUGUCAGUGUUCAAAUAUGGACUGUUUCUUCACAUCUGAAAGAACUAAGCUAUUAUGUAUUUUUGAAGAUGUUCUGAUUCUAAUUUUUUCUAUUAUAAACUAAAAGUGGCAACCUGAACUAAUUGUCCUAUUCAUGUUUGCACUCAGUAAACACCUAUGCAGAAGCAAAUUAAUCCAAAAUCUUUCAUGAAAUUUUUUGUACAAUUUCUACUGCUACUCAUUGAGAAAGAAGGUUAGUGGAUUUAUAUUUGUUUUCCUUUCAUUUAAAACAAAAGAAUUAGUCAGACAGUUCUAUUCACAAAGUUAGAACACAAUAAUUUAAAAAUCAUUUGGAAAUUUUAAUACAACAGUAUGCUACAGGACAGUAUCCAAUUAUCUCUUCCUUGCCUGUCUAUUGUUGUAAAUGGGUAACUGGGUAUAAAGUGUAUAUUGCUCUGAAUUACAACCAAAGAUCUGGACACUUUCAUCCUGGGAAAAGUUGACAUGCAGGCCUGAAUUUUAAUCAGUAGGUCCUGUAUUUCUCCAGUAAACUUAAUCAAAGCUAAGAUACAACAGCAUUUUUGCAAAUCUUUAUAAGCUAAGACAUUUUGGGAUAAUUUCCUCACUGUUUGGUAACAAUGCCUUGUGGCUUCAUAGCUCUAGGAUGACAGGCAUUUGGUCCAAGAAUCACACUCCAACUAUUCCAAAAUAACUUUGUGAAAUAUGUAACAUGUAUGGAAUAAGUUCCUCAUAUAAGUGAGGAAUUUCAACACACACUGGUUUAAUACGCCAAUUUCCUGGUUUUGGAUUUAUUGGUAAUGUAUAAUAUGCUAACACUGUGCAUUGAAUUGCAUUGAAUCCUACAGGAACAGAAUGUUUGUAUUGCAGAAAUAUUAAAAGGUUGUGACCUUUCAAAGACAGUAUCACAUGGUGUAGUCUGAGACUUAAUAUCAGUUUCUCACCAGCAACACCUCACAAAACCACCAUGAUUUAAAGAAAAAAACUUCUCUUUUUGUUAAAAAGAAGAGAAAUAACAGCAGAAUAAGAGCAAUUAUUUUUCUUUCUAGAACUCAUAGCCUAAUCUGUUAGAAGUAGUUACUUUGUCAGCCAGAUUUUGAAACCAGCUACUCAUCUAUGAAUUAUUUGCGUGUUGUCUGAGGCUAUGUAUCAUUAUGCAAAUGUGCAUAUUGCUAAAUGACCUUUGUGGUAAAUUUAGAUGAUCACUUAAGGAAAAACUGUCAGUUUCAUUUCAUUUCCCCAAAGUCUUUGUCAGUGCAUUUAUGGAUCUCAGUCACCCUGGAGUAGUGGCUUAAAAUAUGCCAAAAUGCAUUCAAGAUAUCUGAUUAGCAAAACUAACUUAACCAGUUUCCUCUUGGUUCUUGUGACCUCCUUUUGUUUGAGAGAUACUCCUUGAUUUAGUUUUUGGUUUUUUUUAAACAUGCACUAAAAAUGCAUAAAUGUUUUAUGAUAGGUAUCAUUUAAUUUGCAUUUUCCCUCAGAGGCUUCUGUCAAAUUUGAAAACAAAUUUUUCUGAAAUGGCACAUCUCAAGACAAAUGAUAGUGUUUUUUUUUAAAGUUAAAUGUUUUAUUAUAAUGAAAAGGUUUUACUUCUAUUAAAGUAAAAGAACAGGCCUUCCAGAUUUAUAAAAGAGAAUGUCACAGUAAAUGUUCUCUUCAGCAAUUGAAGUGCAUUUACCAAGUAGAAAUGCACUGGUAUUUACCACAUUAGUGAUUACAAGGCAAUUAUAAAAUCGCACCAGCUUAUUAAAAUUGAUGAGAAAUGUUAUAGAUAUGCGUGAUUUGUUAAAAGUAUCACUGUAGCUGAUAAUUUUACAAAGUAUGCUGUGAGAAGAUUAGUAAGUUAUGUUGAUAAUAAAAAAAGAAACGUUUAAAUUCUUAAAAUAAUGUAUUGGGGUUCUUUAAGUUUUUUUUUUUCUUUGAGUG